Molecule: ribosomal RNA, 267 nt
Filed under: uncultured Streptococcus sp.
Lineage: Bacteria; Bacillati; Bacillota; Bacilli; Lactobacillales; Streptococcaceae
Description: partial 16S ribosomal RNA
Rfam family: Bacterial small subunit ribosomal RNA
Source: RNAcentral
UUGCCAUCAUUCAGUUGGGCACUUUAGAGAGACUGCCGGUGUUAAGCCGGAGGAAGGUGGGGGAUGACGUCAAGUCCUCAUGGCCUUUAUGUCUAGGGCUACACACGUGCUACAAUGGUUGGUACAACGAGUUGCGAGUCGGUGACGGCGAGCUAAUCUCUUAAAGCCAAUCUCAGUUCGGAUUGUAGGCUGCAACUCGCCUACAUGAAGUCGGAAUCGCUAGUAAUCGCGGAUCAGCACGCCGCGGUGAAUACGUUCCCGGGCCUU